UAAGUUUAUAGUCAAAGAGGUAAUUGUUAUUUCCAUAAAGGUCAUAUGAUAUCAAAGAGGUGGAUAAAGGUAGUUUCCACAGGCCAUAAAGAUAUCUUGAGAAUAGUUACUACAAGUGAUCAUAGACAAUCAAUAUUGUCCAUAGGCUAUCUAAUGAUAACUUAUCGAAUGAGGUGGUUAUAACAAGGUAGAAGGGAUGGUAAAAGCUUCUCAUAGACGUAGCAAAAUCAUAGACAAAGAUCUAGAAUCAUCAUAGACUUGAGUCGUGACGAUCAUAGACAAAGUUGUUGAUUGCAAGCGAAGUCACUAAAUAUUAGGGUCAUGAAUGAGAUCUUGAAGAUAUUGAUUGCAAAUGAAAAUGUUGCUGACCAUAGCUGAGGCCGUCAAAGAUGUUAAUCAUGGACAAAGUCAACGAGGACAUCAGUCAUGUCAAAAGCAUCACAAUUCAAAGAUUAAAGCCACAACUGAAGUCGUCAAAAUUAGAUGCCAAAUCCAGAAUGUCAAUUGUAGACAGGAUAAUUGAUUGUGCUGAUGGUGGAUGAAGUCUCCAAAAACUUUAGAUGUCAUCAAGAACUUCCAUCAUGGCUAAAAUUGUUGUAGACUUUCCCGAUCUACAUGACAAGUGGUGACUAGCCCAAAAAUCCAAAUUUUCUUGCUCGUUGCUUCCUCUCCAAGCACUUUCUUUCUCUCUUACCACUCCCAUCCCGACCUGAUCUUCUACACUCUCUUCAAAUAUUAAAGCCACCACCCGCCUCAUCUUUGAUGACCUUGUCACUGCCCUCGUCCGCUUUGCCAACUUCAUCCUAGGCAAGCAUACUAUCUUCAUUGGUUAAGAUGGCUGUCAGGAAAGGUGAUAGAGAUUGGUUUGACACACUAGGGACAGAAGGCGAACAAAGGAAUGGUAAAGAAAGAAAGGGGCAAAGGAAAAGGAUUAGUAUGUUGAGAAAUGCAUAAAAAGAGCCAAGAGCUUCUCGUCUUACAUAGAAAAAACAUGGGAAGAAAGAAAGAGAAUUUGUGGUUUUAUCAUUCCCAGGUGGUCAUUCCUUUGCAUGGUAUUUUGAAAUGACAAAAUCUCAUCCAAACAGCUUACGACAAAGUUCCUCAUUGUUUAAGAUUCCAAUGGAAAGUCCAAUUUCCAUGGAAUGCAAAAGGAAUUGAUUAUCUUUUCAUGAAAAAGAAUUGAUUGUUGAUAUUUAUAAUAGCCUGAUCUAAUGAUAUAUAUACCUUAUAACUACAAGUAUAGUUAAUAAUCAUAACAAUAAAGCAUGAAACAUUGUCUCGAUGGCUAAGAUUUGUAAGCAUAUAGGAGAUUUGGAUAUUAAAUCUCCACUUAUUUUUCCAAUUUUCUCAUUUCUAAGAGUUAGUUUUACUCCUUUUCACCCAGCCGGGUCACCUGUUUUCUCAAAAACCGUCCGCUUCAGCCUAAUUUUCACCAGGUCAAUUGCAUUUCUAGUCCGAUUAUGAAACCAAAUCGGAUAGGGGACUAUCUCACCGAUUUUCCAGUAUGACUAGCCAAUCUGGUAUUAGAAACUAGCUAUUGAGUUAUGAUUCUUUGGAUGUCUAAUUUACUUGUUCAACUAAUAUUUUGACUAUCCAACACUCACUAAAAAACACUAGGUGUGGUUAAUAAAUAUAUGUAAAUAAAUAAAUAUUCUCUUACAUCUCAGAAGGAUAUGGUUAAGAAAAUUACUAAUCAAAUACAUUUAUGAUUGCCAUUUACUUAAAAAUUUGUUU
This 1734-nucleotide long non-coding RNA is filed under the name Phoenix dactylifera (date palm). RNAcentral describes it as "long non-coding RNA (PDAC_LNC010410)". Lineage: Eukaryota; Viridiplantae; Streptophyta; Magnoliopsida; Arecales; Arecaceae. The record is from RNAcentral.